AACGAACGCUGGCGGCAGGCCUAACACAUGCAAGUCGAGCGGACCUUUCGGGGUCAGCGGCGGACGGGAGAGUAACGCGUGGGAAUAUGCCCUUUUCUACGGGAUACUCCUGGGAAACUGGGGGUAAUACCGUAUACGCUCUGUGGGGGGAAGGUUUAUCGGGGAAGGAUUAGCCCGCGUUGGAUUAGGUAGUUGGUGGGGUAAUGGCCUACCAAGCCGACGAUCCAUAGCUGGUUUGAGAGGAUGAUCAGCCACACUGGGACUGAGACACGGCCCAGACUCCUACGGGAGGCAGCAGUGGGGAAUCGUAGACAAUGGGGGCAACCCUGAUCUAGCCAUGCCGCGUGAGUGAUGAAGGCCUUAGGGUUGUAAAGCUCUUUCAGCUGGGAAGAUAAUGACGGUACCAGCAGAAGAAGCCCCGGCUAACUCCGUG
This 433-nucleotide ribosomal RNA is filed under the name uncultured bacterium. RNAcentral describes it as "partial 16S ribosomal RNA". It matches the Rfam family "Bacterial small subunit ribosomal RNA", at positions 29 to 507 of the family's 1533-position model. The record is from RNAcentral.